This is a long non-coding RNA of Apus apus (common swift), 792 nucleotides long. RefSeq lists it as uncharacterized. The record is from RefSeq and is a predicted model, not a curated record. The transcript has 6 exons. NCBI's taxonomy places the organism in Eukaryota, Metazoa, Chordata, Aves, Apodiformes, Apodidae.
UGUCUCCUCUAUUUUAGGUGCCUUGGGAUCACUGAAAGAUGAUGGAAAUACAUGUCUGAGAAGGCAAAGUUACCAGGAAAGGGAGAGGAAUUAAGGCCACAUGACUGUGAACCUUCCUCUCUUUCAAGUGGAAUGUGCAGACCCAGCAAUGCUCCUGCCUUGGGCACGUGCUUCUGAUCUGACCACCCAGAACAACCUGUGUCUUUUGGUCACACAGAUUCUGGAAAUUAAAACCCAGCUAUGCUCACCUGGCAGCUCCCCAGCAGCAGAAAGCUCAGAGGGAGGACUUGGUGGGACCACAUCAGCGAGGGGCUGUGAAGGAACUGCCACUGCCCCACUAUUCCUGGCACAGGCCCAGGCUGAGGAAGCAUGGCAGCAGGAACACCCAGGCCCUAGCACAGCAGCAAUCUGGAAGGAUGCUGCAGAGGAAGGACACACGGAUGAGUGACUGGAUUUCCUGCCUCCAUAACUAACAACACCUGGACGUUAAAUGGAUAAGAAACCAACUCUGAUCACUAGCAUUUAUUUUUUUUUACCUUCUCAGACAGCACUCACUGGAGUUAGAGACAAUGGAUGAGCUAGAACUGCAGCAACUGUAUAUGGAGAAUAAGCAGCUGACUCACCCUGGCCAUUCAGAAGGUGAAAACAUCCUAGUGUUGAGCAAGGUGGAGACUGAGGGCCUCACGUGUCACCUAAUCUACCUGGCUAGGCUGGCUGGCAUGACUGCAAACUCUGUUUCUGCUCCAAGAAGUACAGAAGGUGAUUGCCAGUGAGAUCUGCUCUCUACAGACC